RNAcentral lists this ribosomal RNA (1605 nucleotides) under Arthrobacter glacialis. Its description in RNAcentral is "partial 23S ribosomal RNA". It matches the Rfam family "Bacterial large subunit ribosomal RNA", at positions 1 to 1499 of the family's 2925-position model. The record is from RNAcentral. Lineage: Bacteria; Bacillati; Actinomycetota; Actinomycetes; Micrococcales; Micrococcaceae.
UGUAGUCAAGUUUUUAAGGGCACACGGUGGAUGCCUUGGCAUUAGGAGCCGAAGAAGGACGUAGGAAUCUGCGAUAAGCCUCGGGGAGUUGAUAACCAAACUUUGAUCCGAGGGUGUCCGAAUGGGGGAACCCCGCUACCCGUUGCAAGACGAGGUGGUGACCUGCAUCUGAAUAUAUAGGAUGUGUGGAGGGAACGUGGGGAAGUGAAACAUCUCAGUACCCACAGGAAGAGAAAACAAAAGUGAUUCCGUUAGUAGUGGCGAGCGAACGCGGAACAGGCUAAACCGUGUCAUGUGUGAUAGCCGGCGGGCGUUGCAUGGUGCGGGGUUGUGGGAUUUACCGUGACGGAUCUGCCGGUUCGUUGAGGGGAAUGGUGCAUGUAUAGGUGAACGGUUUUGAAUGGCCGACCGUAGAGGGUGAGAGUCCCGUAACUGAAAUGCAGUGCACUCCCUUAGGUGAGUAUCCCAAGUAGCACGGGGCCCGAGAAAUCCCGUGUGAAUCUGUCAGGACCACCUGAUAAGCCUAAAUACUACCUAAUGACCGAUAGCGGACAAGUACCGUGAGGGAAAGGUGAAAAGUACCCCGGGAGGGGAGUGAAAUAGUACCUGAAACCGUGUGCUUACAAUCCGUCAGAGCAAGCGUGCACUUUGGUGUAGUUGUUCUUGUGAUGGCGUGCCUUUUGAAGAAUGAGCCUGCGAGUUAGUGUUACGUCGCGAGGUUAACCCGUGUGGGGAAGCCGUAGCGAAAGCGAGUCUGAAUAGGGCGAUCGUAGUGGCGUGAUCUAGACCCGAAGCGAAGUGAUCUACCCAUGGCCAGGUUGAAGCGCGUGUAAGAGCGCGUGGAGGACCGAACCCACUUCAGUUGAAAAUGGAGGGGAUGAGCUGUGGGUAGGGGUGAAAGGCCAAUCAAACUUCGUGAUAGCUGGUUCUCCCCGAAAUGCAUUUAGGUGCAGCGUUGCGUGUUUCUUACCGGAGGUAGAGCUACUGGAUGGCUAAUGGGCCCUACAAGGUUACUGACGUCAGCCAAACUCCGAAUGCCGGUAAGUCAGAGCGUAGCAGUGAGACUGUGGGGGAUAAGCUUCAUAGUCGAGAGGGAAACAGCCCAGACCACCAACUAAGGCCCCUAAGCGUGUGCUAAGUGGGAAAGGAUGUGGGAUUGCUUAGACAACCAGGAGGUUGGCUUAGAAGCAGCCAUCCUUAAAAGAGUGCGUAAUAGCUCACUGGUCAAGUGAUUCCGCGCCGACAAUGUAGCGGGGCUCAAGUACACCGCCGAAGUUGUGGAUUUCAAACAUUACCCAAGCCAGUAGGUUCGUCCUUUGGUUCAGGGGUUUGGAGUGGUAGGGGAGCGUCGUGUAGGCAUUGAAGCCGCAGUGUGAACUAGCGGUGGAGCCUACACGAGUGAGAAUGCAGGCAUGAGUAGCGAAAGACGGGUGAGAAACCCGUCCGCCGAAUGAUCAAGGGUUCCAGGGUCAAGCUAAUCUGCCCUGGGUAAGUCGGGACCUAAGGCGAGGCCGACAGGCGUAGUCGAUGGACAACGGGUUGAUAUUCCCGUACCGGUGAAGAACCGCCCAUAUUGAACUGAUAAUACUAACCACCCAAACUGUU